AGAGUUUGAUCCUGGCUCAGGAUGAACGCUAGCUACAGGCUUAACACAUGCAAGUCGAGGGGAAACGAUAGAGAAAGCUUGCUUUUUCUAGGCGUCGACCGGCGCACGGGUGAGUAACGCGUAUCCAACCUGCCCAUCACUUGGGGAUAACCUUGCGAAAGUAAGACUAAUACCCAAUGAGGUCUCUAGAAGACAUCUGAAAGAGAUUAAAGAUUUAUCGGUGAUGGAUGGGGAUGCGUCUGAUUAGCUUGUUGGCGGGGUAACGGCCCACCAAGGCGACGAUCAGUAGGGGUUCUGAGAGGAAGGUCCCCCACAUUGGAACUGAGACACGGUCCAAACUCCUACGGGAGGCAGCAGUGAGGAAUAUUGGUCAAUGGGCGAGAGCCUGAACCAGCCAAGUAGCGUGCAGGAUGACGGCCCUAUGGGUUGUAAACUGCUUUUAUAAGGGAAUAAAGUGGGAGUCGUGACUCCUUUUGCAUGUACCUUAUGAAUAAGGACCGGCUAAUUCCGUGCCAGCAGCCGCGGUAAUACGGAAGGUCCGGGCGUUAUCCGGAUUUAUUGGGUUUAAAGGGAGCGUAGGCCGGAGAUUAAGCGUGUUGUGAAAUGUAGACGCUCAACGUCUGCACUGCAGCGCGAACUGGUUUCCUUGAGUACGCACAAAGUGGGCGGAAUUCGUGGUGUAGCGGUGAAAUGCUUAGAUAUCACGAAGAACUCCGAUUGCGAAGGCAGCUCACUGGAGCGCAACUGACGCUGAAGCUCGAAAGUGCGGGUAUCGAACAGGAUUAGAUACCCUGGUAGUCCGCACGGUAAACGAUGGAUGCCCGCUGUUGGUCUGAAUAGGUCAGCGGCCAAGCGAAAGCAUUAAGCAUCCCACCUGGGGAGUACGCCGGCAACGGUGAA
RNAcentral lists this ribosomal RNA (900 nucleotides) under uncultured bacterium. Its description in RNAcentral is "bacterial SSU rRNA". It matches the Rfam family "Bacterial small subunit ribosomal RNA", at positions 8 to 898 of the family's 1533-position model. The record is from RNAcentral.